UACGUAGGGCGCGAGCGUUGUCCGGAAUCAUUGGGCGUAAAGAGCUCGUAGGCGGCCGGUUGCGUCUGCUGUGAAAUCCCGGGGCUUAACCCCGGGCGUGCAGUGGAUACGGGCUGGCUGGAGGCAGGCAGGGGAGAAUGGAAUUCCCGGUGUAGCGGUGAAAUGCGCAGAUAUCGGGAGGAACACCGGUGGCGAAGGCGGCUCACUGGCCCGGUACUGACGCUGAGGUGCGAAAGCGUGGGGAGCAAACAGG
This 253-nucleotide ribosomal RNA is filed under the name uncultured bacterium. RNAcentral describes it as "partial 16S ribosomal RNA". It matches the Rfam family "Bacterial small subunit ribosomal RNA", at positions 524 to 776 of the family's 1533-position model. The record is from RNAcentral.